RNAcentral lists this ribosomal RNA (267 nucleotides) under Acinetobacter baumannii. RNAcentral's name for it is "partial 23S ribosomal RNA". It matches the Rfam family "Bacterial large subunit ribosomal RNA", at positions 157 to 461 of the family's 2925-position model. The record is from RNAcentral. Lineage: Bacteria; Pseudomonadati; Pseudomonadota; Gammaproteobacteria; Moraxellales; Moraxellaceae.
ACAGGAAUACAUAGGUUAACGAGGCGAACCGGGGGAACUGAAACAUCUAAGUACCCCGAGGAAAAGAAAUCAACCGAGAUUCCCCCAGUAGCGGCGAGCGAACGGGGAGCAGCCCAGAGUCUGAAUCAGCUUGUGUGUUAGUGGAACGGUCUGGAAAGUCCGACGGUACAGGGUGAUAGUCCCGUACACCAAAAUGCACAGGUUGUGAACUCGAAGAGUAGGGCGGGACACGUGGUAUCCUGUCUGAAUAUGGGGGGACCAUCCUCC